This 77-nucleotide transfer RNA is filed under the name Mesoaciditoga lauensis. Its description in RNAcentral is "tRNA-Arg". It matches the Rfam family "tRNA". From Rfam's summary of the family: Transfer RNA (tRNA) molecules are approximately 80 nucleotides in length. Their secondary structure includes four short double-helical elements and three loops (D, anti-codon, and T loops). Further hydrogen bonds mediate the characteristic L-shaped molecular structure. tRNAs have two regions of fundamental functional importance: the anti-codon, which is responsible for specific mRNA codon recognition, and the 3' end, to which the tRNAs corresponding amino acid is attached (by aminoacyl-tRNA synthetases). tRNAs cope with the degeneracy of the genetic code in two manners: having more than one tRNA (with a specific anti-codon) for a particular amino acid; and 'wobble' base-pairing, i.e. permitting non-standard base-pairing at the 3rd anti-codon position. Lineage: Bacteria; Thermotogati; Thermotogota; Thermotogae; Mesoaciditogales; Mesoaciditogaceae. The record is from RNAcentral.
GUGCCCGUAGCUCAGCUGGAUAGAGCGAUAGACUGCGGAUCUAUAGAUCGGGAGUUCGAAUCCCCCCGGGCACGCCA